This 52-nucleotide microRNA precursor is filed under the name Marmota monax (woodchuck). The record is from RNAcentral. Lineage: Eukaryota; Metazoa; Chordata; Mammalia; Rodentia; Sciuridae.
UUUUUAAUAUCAAUAUGUCCUGUGCAGUGUUUGGGAAGUAUUUAUACUGAAA